Nylanderia fulva is the source of this 963-nucleotide long non-coding RNA. RefSeq lists it as uncharacterized. The record is from RefSeq and is a predicted model, not a curated record. NCBI's taxonomy places the organism in Eukaryota, Metazoa, Arthropoda, Insecta, Hymenoptera, Formicidae.
UCAUAGGACUUGAGCGGGGGCUUAGGCGUCCAUUGCACGUGGUCCCUGUGCGGUGGCAGUGUGGCCUUGCUUUCUCUCACGAGAUACGAGUUGGUCUGGUCUAGUAGGACCUCUGGAAGUUAUGUUUUAUUUAAAUAAGGUUAACAAGAAACUGAAAGUAUGUAAAGAUUUUUCGGAUUUACAAUCUACUGAAUUAGAAAAUGAAAUACAAAAUAAGAAAAGAAAACCCAAACCAAAUGUAAAAUAUAUGAAUUCUAGUAAUAAAGAUGAAGAUCAAGAAAACUUUGAUUCAUUAUAACUACUAGCAAAACAUUAUAAAUCAGAGUUUCCCGAAAAGUCUCUCCUUUUGUGACUCCUGACUCAGAACAAGAGACGGACUCCCCCCGAUUCGCUCGCUCGAUCCUACUCAUCGCUACUCGCACCUGCGCUCUCAUAUUCGCGCUUCCUAUUUACUCGAAUAUGUAACAAGUAAUAUUUUUAGAAAUUAAAUAUUUUUUGUAAAUAAACAAAUUUUUCAAUUUUUAGAAUCUUUGAUGAUAGCGAAAUUUACAUCACCUUCAUCAAGGAGAAUUAUGUCACGACGAAAAAGUCGAAGAGCAAUUUGAAAAACCACAACCGAAUAUUUCUUUUAAACAAAAGAUACUUGAUUGGUCAAAAAUAUUACAUGUCUCAAUAAUAAAAUGUUAAUAAUUAUAUAUUUUGAAAAUAGUACAUGAUGAAUUUCUGAAAACAGUUAUACCGUGUUCUAUUGGGAGAAACUUGCUAGCACUGGCAGCGUUGAUUGUGAGUGAAGAUAUUUAUUGGUAAGAUAAGUGAACAUAUUUGAAGUGAUGCGCAUUUCAUUAGAAAUGCAAAAUACUCUGUGUGCAUUGAAUGCAGUUAAAGUGGCCCCGAUUUUGAUGGCAGGGGCCACGUCAGUGUUAUACUGUUUGAAUUAAACUGUUGUGACAAGAAAUAUAGACU